CAGUCGCCGCGGUAAUACGAAGGGGGCUAGCGUUGCUCGGAACGACUGGGCGUAAAGGGCGCGUAGGCGGAUGGUACAGUCAGACGUGAAAUUCCUGGGCUCAACCUGGGGACUGCGUUUGAGACGUGCGAUCUAGAGUUUGGAAGAGGGUCGUGGAAUUCCCAGUGUAGAGGUGAAAUUCGUAGAUAUUGGGAAGAACACCGGUGGCGAAGGCGGCGACCUGGUCCUUGACUGACGCUGAGGCGCGAAAGCGUGGGGAGCAAACAGGAUUAGAUACCCCCGUAGUCCCUGUCUCUUAUAC
Molecule: ribosomal RNA, 301 nt
Filed under: uncultured bacterium
Lineage: Bacteria
Description: partial 16S ribosomal RNA
Rfam family: Bacterial small subunit ribosomal RNA
Source: RNAcentral